RNAcentral lists this ribosomal RNA (467 nucleotides) under uncultured bacterium. RNAcentral's name for it is "partial 16S ribosomal RNA". It matches the Rfam family "Bacterial small subunit ribosomal RNA", at positions 28 to 506 of the family's 1533-position model. The record is from RNAcentral.
GACGAACGCUGGCGGCGUGCUUAACACAUGCAAGUCGAACGGAAAGGCCCUGCUUUUGUGGGGUGCUCGAGUGGCGAACGGGUGAGUAACACGUGAGUAACCUGCCCUUGACUUUGGGAUAACUUCAGGAAACUGGGGCUAAUACCGGAUAGGAGCUCCUGCUGCAUGGUGGGGGUUGGAAAGUUUCGGCGGUUGGGGAUGGACUCGCGGCUUAUCAGCUUGUUGGUGGGGUAGUGGCUUACCAAGGCUUUGACGGGUAGCCGGCCUGAGAGGGUGACCGGCCACAUUGGGACUGAGAGACGGCCCAGACUCCUACGGGAGGCAGCAGUGGGGAAUAUUGCACAAUGGGCGGAAGCCGGAUGCAGCAACGCCGCGUGCGGGAUGACGGCCUUCGGGUUGUAAACCGCUUUCGCCUGUGACGAAGCGUGAGUGACGGGAAUGGGUAAAGAAGCACCGGCUAACUACGU